RNAcentral lists this ribosomal RNA (206 nucleotides) under uncultured bacterium. RNAcentral's name for it is "partial 16S ribosomal RNA". It matches the Rfam family "Bacterial small subunit ribosomal RNA", at positions 30 to 234 of the family's 1533-position model. The record is from RNAcentral.
CCUGAACGCUGGCGGCGUGGCUAAGACAUGCAAGUCGAAACGGGUGUAGCAAUACACCAGUGGCGGACGGGUGAGGUAAUGUAAUCGCUAACGUAGCCCUGGAAUCUGAGAUAAGGCCAAUCGAAAGGUUGGGUAAUACCAGAUGAAAUAAUCCUUAUCGCAUGAUGAGGAUCUCAAAGGAGCAAUCCGGUCUGGGAGCGGGCGAU